Long non-coding RNA from Manis javanica (Malayan pangolin), 5219 nucleotides. RefSeq lists it as uncharacterized. The record is from RefSeq and is a predicted model, not a curated record. Lineage: Eukaryota; Metazoa; Chordata; Mammalia; Pholidota; Manidae.
ACAAAGUCCCUUUAAGACAGCUCUUGGCUGGCUUUCUCUCUCUACUUUUGGUCUGCAGGAAAUACACAGAUGUUCUUUGCCUGCACAUACUCUAGUGUGGGCAUUUUCUCACCAGCCUUCUCUCCUUGCCACCACUGAUGUGUUCUGCAAGCCACAGUUCUUCACUUGAAUGUUUUCCAGUCUGAUUCAGAGACCAGUUACUCAGGUCAUGCAAACUGCAGCAGACAAAUGUCGAGUACCCAGACCAGUGGUCUCCUCAAAGCUCUUUUCAUGAGACUUGAGCACAUCUCAUCUCAGACCAGCCACAUAUCAUGCGUUCCAUAUUGAUCAGCCCAGCUGUAAAGGGAUGUUUCAGUCCUGGUGAACCUAUAACAUAUGGACUCUUAAUAAGAUCACUAAGGAAGCAGUUCUAGGGACAUUCUCUUAUACUCUCUUAUAUACCUGCUACUGUCACACAGAGCAAGGAAGCAUGGACAACAUAUUGGAUAGCAGGAUCUGGAUUUUAUACAACAUAUCUUGACAGCUUGAAAUGAUAGACUAAAGCCAAAUUGGUCAGCAAGAGGAUGGAAGGAAAGAGAAGCAGAAUUCCUACUAAGCCUGCAAACAGGAAAACCAGGGCUCGACUAAUCUAAAAUUGACCACAGAUGAUUUGAUAAAGGCAGUGGCUCAGGCCUCUCCUUCUGCCUCUCCCUGGGUAAGUAAACUUGGUCCCCAGCUCUUCUCCCUCUCUGCUCUCUCAGCCUUACCAGCCAUCUCUCCUCUCACCACCUGUUUCAGUCUAGGCUGCCCACAGCCUCUCCUGCCUCCAUUUACCACUACUCAAAAGGGGACUCCACUGUCUCCUCAAACCGAAACUGAACUUACUGUAUUCCCUCUCCUCAACGUACCCCCUGCUGGCCCAUAUUUCCUGUUAGCAGGGCAGGACCAGGCAGGUGGCUGAAGUUCCAGAGGUCAGGAGAAAAGGGAGAAUGCCUCUUGGCUACAGUUGUGUAUGUAGAGCUGCAGAGUGGCUAUAAAAAUGAUGUUUCAGAGAGAAUAUUGCAAGUUAAGGCAGAGCAGUGUAUCCAAUCAGUAAGGGAGCCUAGAGGAACUGGGAGCUGUCAGUCCGAGUGAAUGGGAGGUAGUGGUGAUAAAUGUGGGUGACAAGGCAUGUGGGUACUCUUGGUGCUUGUGCAUGCAAAAGCAAAUAGAGGGCAGACAUCGCCCAACUUUUCAAUAGGGAAUCAUUUGAUUUCUCUGUCCACACUUAUAACCUAUUGAUCUUUUCUUGCACAAAUAUUUCAGAUUCAUCCAGUCCUCCAUAAUCUCCGGCUACAGCAGUAGUCCACACCCUCAACCCUUCUUGCUUUGAAUUAUUCUUCUGCCCCCGUCUUCCUGCCCCAGCUACUUCUCUUUUUGAAAUUUAAGGCACGAGGUCAUCAGAUUAAUUUUUCAACAAUCCUCAUUUCACCACAUCAUUUUCUCACUGAAAAUUCUGCUAAAUUCCUGCUACUUUAGAUAAAGUUUGCACUCAGUAUAAAAGUCAAGGUUUCUCAUACUAUGCUGAAGGGAGUGGGGCUGACAUGCGCUAAGUCUGGGAAGUCUGUUGAGCCCUCACCCAGCGGUGCUCCUGCCUCUUCAUUGAGGUUGAAGAAGAUUCUAUUCCUGAGCAAUCGGAAGACUAGGGAGGACUGAGAAGUCCCUUUCAACUCCACUGCCUCUUGUACUUAAAUAAGAUUGUAGGUGCUCCAGAGAUGGAACCCUGGGUAGUUCCAAUUCACGGAAGAUAAACCAACAGGAGACGAGGAGCAGAAGUAAGAAGCAUUCCCCUAUCUGUACAACAGUGAGACAUCACAGUCCCAGCAGAGCCUCAGUUCCCCAUUCUUACAAGAACUGGGGACAGGAUGGAUAGGCAAGUCAGCAUUCUCCAUUACCUGCACACUGUGGCAUUUCUAGGGAAAGAAGCAAUGGAACAAAGAAGUAGUCAAAAUUGCUCCCUCCUAAUGAUGAAAGAAGGAAGCAGAUGAUCUUUCCCCCAAGAAGUCCCAGUAGCCCAUUCAGAACAAACCAGACCCAGCCAGAGCCAGUGAGCACGAAGGUAUGGCCCGAUAGUCUAUAUGCUUUUACCCUAAUUGGAUUCAAAAGUCAAUUAAGUAGGCUUAGCUGCCAAGAUCAGUAAUCUAGGCCAGUUCAUCCCUUAAAACUCUAGUAAAACCUGCUUGGAUCUGAAGCCCAGGCCACUCCAGCAUCCUAGGCAAGCAGGUGGAAUCUCAUCAUAUAAUGGCCCAAUCAUCCUCACCAGGCCAAGCCAGCAUAUACCCUUUGGCUGCAUCCAUCUGGGAAGAGUUGUGGUUAAGAAACUCCGUUUGCUCCAUGUUGAUUAAACAUCUAUUAUGCACCAAGUAUGUUAAAUGCUGGAGAUACAACAGUAUUGUGACCCUGAGUUGAUGACACUUACAGAAUAUAGAAUAGACAGAAAAAUAAUCACACAAACUAAUAUAAAUUUGCAAGCAUGACAAAAGCUUCAAGGGAGAAGGACAAAAGUCUUUGAGGUUCUACAAGGGCGAUUUCCCAUGGAAACAAUGCUUGAGCUAAGAUCUAGAAACUGAGUAUGAGUUAACUAGGUGAAAAGGAGAGAAGAAUACCCUAAGCAGGUAACAGCACAUAUACCCUGUGGCUAGUAGGACUGAGAAAGCCAGCAUGCCUGGAGAGAGGAGAGUGAGAGGGUGCCCCGUGAGAGGUGAGGCUGGGAGGUGGAGAGGGGCCAAACCAGUAUAAGCAAUGGAGGAGUUUUGUUUUUAUUCAAUAGGAAAUGGGAAGCUAUUUAAUAGUUUUAAGCAGAAGGAUGUCACAGACAUAUUUACAUGGUGAAGAGAUCACUUUGUCUGCAACAAGGAAGCCUGACAGGAGGAGGUGGUGCAAGUGGAUGGGGAAGAACCUGUGAGUCAGCAACUGCAAAUCCAAGCAGAAAACAAUGGUUACUUCUGACCAUCACUAGGCUGACAGUGGUUUCGAUGGAGAUAGUGACCAUAUUUGAGUGGCAGCUGGAUAAAAAAUGACAGAAUUCAGUGAUGAUCAGAUCUGGAGACAUGAGAUUGAAGAGAUAGUUCAGAAAGACUCCUAAAUUUCUGGGUUGCAGAAUGCGAUUGAUGGAGGUGUUGGUCCCUGAGAAAGACAAAGUGAGAGGAAAGCCAUGUUUCUAGGGUUGGGGAUAGUGGGGUAGGUAGAGCAAGAGUUUAUCUGUGUUGAUGCAGGGGAGGUCAUGUGGUAGGCAGCCUCUAAAAAAAUUCCCAGUGAGCUCUGACUCGGGUGUUUGCAUCCUUAUAUAGUCCCUCUACCCUGUGUGUGGCUGGGCUUACUGUUUGCUUCAAAUGAAUAGGAAAAAGGCAAAAGUGAUGGAAGGUCACCUCUGAGAUUAGGUUAUAAAAAGACUGUGAUUUCCAUUCUCCCAUCCCAUUUCUUUUUUCUCUGUCUCUCUCUGAAUCCUCACUCUGGGGAAGUAAUCUGCAACACUUCCAGCAGCCCUGGGAAGAGGCCCCAUGGUAAGGAACUGAUGUCCACAAACAACAAGGAGCACAGACCUGAGACCCACCAUCAGCCACGAGUGGGCUUCCAAGUGGGCUGUCCUUCAUUUGAGCCUGGGUGACUGCAGCCCUGGCUGACACCUGAUAGCAGCCUCCUGAGAGACUCUGGGCCCAGAGAUCUUGCUAGGCCACACCUGGGUUUCGGCCCCACAGAAACUGUGCAGUAAUAAAGCCACUGUACAUCACUGAUGGACUGACUGUACAACAGGAGCAAGUGAAAACAAAAUGCAGCUCCGCAGACACAAACAGCCCCCUUCUUCCUGCAGUGUCCCUCCAGCGCCCUCUACUGACAAAGCUUAGUAUCGUGCUUCUGUUAAGGAGAAAUAACAGGCCAGUCUAUUAUCACAGAGCGGGUACUGUAGGGUAAACUGAAGCUGAGAGGUAAAUUCUACAAUUUAGAUCUGUGAGUCAAAGGGUAAAUUAGUAUCUUGUUUGUUAUAUUUUGAUGAAUUUAUUUCCAUCAGAGGUUCUUCAUUUCUACCAACACACGAGAGUACCCUGUUAUCUUAGAACCACAUCUACAAAGUGUGUUGCCAAACUUUUUAAUUUUUGUCAAUGCAAUUGUGAAAUAUUUUCUCAUUAUCAUUUUAAUUCAUGUUAUUUUACUAUUAGUAAAUUUUAACACCUUUUCAUAUGUUGAAUCAUUUCUACCUUUUUUUGGUAAAUUCUUCAUGUCUUUUGUUCAUUUUUCUACAAGGUUAUAAGUUCUUAAUUAUAUUAGAACAGAACAAAUAUCAGGUUAGCUACAACUGCAAAUUACUUAUGAAGAAACAGUUUUGUAGGGCUUUUGUUAUUGUUUUCCCUUAGAGCCAAAGUUCUCAUCUAAGUUUAGUUUACUUCAAUAUUUACUGAGUCCUCCCUGUGGGCCAAGCACCAGAGAUAGAGUGAGACAUGGUCCUUGCUUUUAAGGUGCUUACAUUUCAGUGGGAAAACAGAUGUGUGAAGUUAUUUGGGAGAGAGCAGAACAGAGCAAUUCAAAUAUGGAUUAGAAAGUAUGUGGGCUUGUGUUCAAAUUCUGACAUUGCCAUUUGAACAACUAGUUGGACUGAGUCAGUGGAUUGGGUCAGUCUGUCUUUCUGCCUCAAUUUAAGAUAGAAAAUAAUAACAAGUAACUCAGACAGUUACUAAAAUAACUACAUUAGUUGUUAUAUGAAAGCAAGUAACAUACUGCAUGUUACAUAAUAAACAUACAAUAAUGGUAGUUAGUAACCAAUACAAAUGAUUAUAAUAAUAGUAACAAGUGAUAAAAGAAUUUCAGAAUGUUAUGGUAGUAUAUAUAUAUACUCAUUAAAUUUUAGUUGAAUUUAGAAAAGUAUUAUGACUGAGUCAUUAAAAAUGUUUAAACCAUAUACAGUAUAUUUGGUUUAAUGAGAGAAUCUGUUAUAAUUUUUCAUAUAAAUUUUUUAAGUAUUGAUGAAAUAAAAGUAAAUGGUUAAGAAAUAGUAAAAUCACAAAUAUAGAGACAACAAAUCUGGUAUUUUGAGUCAUUAAUUAUAUAAAUAAGCUAUUAAUGUAAAGUGCAAGAUGGUAGAAUUCAGACAUUAUUGUCAUCCACUGAUUGAUUGUUUUAAAGACUUAAAGCAGGGAAUUAAAGUUUACUUAAUUGAUUAUUUCAGUCUUUGUAUCACUUAAUAUAUACUGUGAAAUAAAAGAUGA